AUUCCUGACAGGGCGAGGGCUGCGCUCGGAACAGCGUGUCCGUGUCCGCCCCAGCGGAGCGAUGCCCAGGAAAGCCUCUCCCGGCCGGCCCAUGGGGAAUGCGCAGCGCCCGCCCGCGGCUCCCAGGGAAGGCGCGGCAGAGGCCCCGGAGGCAUCGCCGGGCCUGAAGCACCGCAGGAACCACCCCGACCCCGGCCCGCCGCCCGCAGAGCCACCGCCCUCAGCCGCCCCAGGAACGAAGCGGAGUGCAGCGACCAGCGGCCGCACCCUUGCGGAGAAGGCCGGUGUCGGCCCCCGGCCCGCCCGGGGUACCGCCGGGAUGCGGGUGCGAGGGGACCCCGCGCCCCCGGAGCACAGCACCCCGCUGCCGCCAUUUUGCGACCCGGCGCGCUGACAUGUCGCGCGCCGUGCGUAGCGCCGCCCCCCGCGCCUGCGCCCCGCGCCCGCGGCGGCCGAGCCGGGGCAGCUGCUCAGCGCCGCGGCGGCGGCGGAGACAAAGCGCCGGGUAAUGAAUGGGACGGGCCCGCCCGGCCCUUCCUCUUAACUCCUUCGGGCCCGGCCGGGCGGCGGCAGCGGCGACCUCCGGUUUCCCCCGCGGCGGCCGCCCGGGGAGAUACAAUCAUCUCAUUAAGUUUGAGUAGCAAGUAUUUAACCUCAAAUGAAGCCGCCUGCCUGCAGUGGAACAGAUGUCAGUUCUCUACAAAUCAUGCUUCCCAUGAAGUCAAGAAUGACUUGUGUCUUCUAUUAAGCCCGGCUUUCUGUACUUUAUUCAAGAUUAAACCGUUGCAUGCCUCUAGUUCAUGCUUGUACAUCUGUGCCAAUUCCUGUGAGCUUCUGUGGGCCUUGAGACUAGGACCCACCUUGUUUCAGUGUGACUGACAUGCCAGUUUUGCGUUUCUAAUUCUGCAUUUUUAAUGAUCAGUAUCUUGCAAAUCUCUCUAGUUUCAUACACGUGAGCUAGUACUGAUAUUUUAUCAUAGGAAAUUUCUGUAGAUAAAACGCACUGGUUUUAGUUUUCCUUCUUCAAGGAACAUAAAACUUUGACAAGCAGUAAGGUUCAUCUGGACUAGAAAUUUAUACUAAUAAAUUCUGCUGAUUUGUUUAUGAUUUUGGAUAU
This 1117-nucleotide long non-coding RNA is filed under the name Junco hyemalis (dark-eyed junco). Its description in RNAcentral is "lncRNA (ENSJHYG00000014030.1)". The record is from RNAcentral. Lineage: Eukaryota; Metazoa; Chordata; Aves; Passeriformes; Passerellidae.